UGUGUUUUCAGAGGAGUUGAGAUGACAAACUGUUGCAGAAGUACAUUGAAGCAAAUAAGUUCAAAAGGGCAUAACUCCUAGAAAAAAAUUGAACCGUAAUUUCCUGUUGAUAUGCACAUCUACAUAGUAUGUACUUAUUAUCUACAAAGUUUCAUGAAAUUCUGUUGUGUGGUUUGAGAGGAGUUGCGAUGACAAACUGUUGCAGUAGUACAUUAAAGUAAAUAAGUUCAAAGGGGCGUAACUCCUUGAAAAAAAAUUGAAUCGCAAUUUCCCGUCGAUAUGCAGAACUACAUAGUAUGUCCUUAUUAUCUGAAAAGGUUUCGUGAAAUUCUGUUGUGUGGUUUGAGAGGAGUUGCGAUGACAAACUGUUGCAGUAAUACAUUAAAGUAAAUAAGUUCAAAGGGGCGUAACUCCUAGAAAAAAAAUUGAAUCGCAAUUUCCCGUCGAUAUGCAGAACUACAUAGUAUGUCCUUAUUAUCUGAAAAGGUUUCGUGAAAUUCUGUUGUGUGGUUUGAGAGGAGUUGCGAUGACAAACUGUUGCAGUAGUACAUUAAAGUAAAUAAUUUCAAAGGGGCGUAACUCCUAGAAAAAAAAUUGAAUCGCAAUUUUCCGUCGAUAUGCACAACUACAUAGUAUGUCCUUAUUAUCUGAAAAGGUUUCGUGAAAUUCUGUUGUGUGGUUUGAGAGGAGUUGCGAUGACAAACUGUUGCAGUAGUACAUUAAAGUAAAUAAGUUCAAAGGGGCGUAACUCCUGGAAAAAAAAUUGAAUCGCAAUUUCCCGUCGAUAUGCACAACUACAUAGUAUGUCCUUAUUAUCUGAAAAGGUUUCGUGAAAUUCUGUUGUGUGGUUUGAGAGGAGUUGCGAUGACAAGAAACAGGACUGACGGACGAACG
This 894-nucleotide long non-coding RNA is filed under the name Mytilus galloprovincialis (Mediterranean mussel). The record is from RNAcentral. Lineage: Eukaryota; Metazoa; Mollusca; Bivalvia; Mytilida; Mytilidae.